GACAGAUCUACGACUGUGGUGUCGUGAUGCUAUAGAUAAGAUCCUUUUAUGCAUCAAACGUCUACAGGUUGCUCUAGUAAACCUGGCUAAAGUAAAUGAAGGUCUCAUUGUUCCUGGCUAUACUCAUCUAGAGAGAGCCCAACCUGUGUUACUGCAGCAUCUUCUCUUGUCAUACGUUGAGCAGAGUUGUAGGAGACCUUGUCACCCUUCUUGUACUUUGCAAGGGACUUCCACAAGCUUACAACCGUGAUAUACAGGAAGACAAGGAGCCUC
Papaver somniferum (opium poppy) is the source of this 273-nucleotide long non-coding RNA. RefSeq lists it as uncharacterized. The record is from RefSeq and is a predicted model, not a curated record. The transcript is spliced from 4 exons. NCBI's taxonomy places the organism in Eukaryota, Viridiplantae, Streptophyta, Magnoliopsida, Ranunculales, Papaveraceae.